Molecule: long non-coding RNA, 452 nt
Organism: Macadamia integrifolia
Lineage: Eukaryota; Viridiplantae; Streptophyta; Magnoliopsida; Proteales; Proteaceae
Exons: 2
Source: RefSeq, a predicted model, not a curated record
GUCCAAAGGUCCCAAACUCCUAAACAAACUAGACUGUACUAGUGAUCAAAUCUAAAGUUUUUAUAGAAAACCCUAUUACAGGUUUCUAUGGCAAUGAAGAAGGUGGUUUUCUUUGUCCUACUCUUGGUUUUUGCAACUGAGUUCAUAGAAUGUUGUGAGAAUGAUAAGCAGUGUGGAGAUAUACAUCCUCCAGAAUGUUGCUACAAAUAUGUGUCGGAAAGCAGAAGAUGCAUGUUAACGUGUGCCGCAAAGUCUGCUGAAAAGCACAGGCGUUUACUUUCCAUGAUUGUUCCUUUACAGGACGUGUGAAAUAAAAAGUUUAUUAUUAUGAAGGUGGAAGUAGCAUCUCCAAAGAACAUAAGAUAUUGUUGUCUUUUGUUCUAUUCCGGAGGGUUGUUUGGAAUAUAAAAUAAUGAUAAUAAUGAAUUAAUAAAAGUUACCUCUUAAAUUCC